AUGCAUUUCGAAGACCAUGAGUUCGAGUUGGACGAGGAGGGUGAGGGCAUUGUCGACGCACCGAAAGGAAGAGCGGGCAAUUACACCAACGCCGAUGACAUCUUACUAUGCAAUACUUGGUUGCAAGUGUCGAGGGAUCCAUCCGUUGGAGGUGAUCAAAGUAGAGAUGCUUAUUGGGGGCGGAUGAAAGAACACUUUGAUGUUCACAACGUGAGUGGAAUUGACCGCUCCGAGAGAUCACUUCGGUCCUGA
RNAcentral lists this ribosomal RNA (252 nucleotides) under Triticum aestivum (bread wheat). RNAcentral's name for it is "partial small subunit ribosomal RNA". Lineage: Eukaryota; Viridiplantae; Streptophyta; Magnoliopsida; Poales; Poaceae. The record is from RNAcentral.